RNAcentral lists this ribosomal RNA (413 nucleotides) under uncultured soil bacterium. Its description in RNAcentral is "bacterial SSU rRNA". It matches the Rfam family "Bacterial small subunit ribosomal RNA", at positions 368 to 794 of the family's 1533-position model. The record is from RNAcentral.
GGGAUGGGCGCAGCCUGAUGCAGCGACGCCGCGUGAGGGAUGACGGCCUUCGGGUUGUAAACCUCUUUCAGUAGGGAAGAAGCGAAAGUGACGGUACCUGCAGAAGAAGCGCCGGCUAACUACGUGCCAGCAGCCGCGGUAAUACGUAGGGCGCAAGCGUUAUCCGGAAUUAUUGGGCGUAAAGAGCUCGUAGGCGGUUUGUCGCGUCUGCCGUGAAAGUCCGGGGCUCAACUCCGGAUCUGCGGUGGGUACGGGCAGACUAGAGUGAUGUAGGGGAGACUGGAAUUCCUGGUGUAGCGGUGAAAUGCGCAGAUAUCAGGAGGAACACCGAUGGCGAAGGCAGGUCUCUGGGCAUUAACUGACGCUGAGGAGCGAAAGCAUGGGGAGCGAACAGGAUUAGAACCCCUGGUAGA